AUGAACGCUAGCGACAGGCCUAACACAUGCAAGUCGAGGGGCAGCACAAGGAGCAAUCUGAGGUGGCGACCGGCGCACGGGUGAGUAACACGUAUGCAACCUGCCUGUAAGCGGGGAAUAACCCGUUGAAAGACGGACUAAUACCGCAUAAUACUAAAUUACUGCAUGGUAAUUUAUUUAAACAUUUAUGGCUUACAGAUGGGCAUGCGCAUGAUUAGCUAGUUGGAGAGGUAACGGCUCCCCAAGGCAACGAUCAUUAGGGGUUCUGAGAGGAAGGUCCCCCACACUGGUACUGAGACACGGACCAGACUCCUACGGGAGGCAGCAGUGAGGAAUAUUGGUCAAUGGACGAGAGUCUGAACCAGCCAAGUCGCGUGCAGGAAGAAUGUCCUAUUGGAUUGUAAACUGCUUUUGCAGGGGAAUAAAGUGCAUCACGCGUGAUGUUUUGUAUGUACUCUGCGAAUAAGGAUCGGCUAACUCCGUGCCAGCAGCUGC
This 495-nucleotide ribosomal RNA is filed under the name uncultured bacterium. RNAcentral's name for it is "bacterial SSU rRNA". It matches the Rfam family "Bacterial small subunit ribosomal RNA", at positions 29 to 518 of the family's 1533-position model. The record is from RNAcentral.